CCUACGGGAGGCAGCAGUGGGGAAUAUUGGGCAAUGGAGGCAACUCUGACCCAGCAACGCCGCGUGAAUGAUGAAGGUCUUCGGAUUGUAAAGUUCUUUUCUAAGGGAAGAAGAAAGUGACGGUACCUUAGGAAUAAGCCUCGGCUAACUACGUGCCAGCAGCCGCGGUAAUACGUAGGAGGCAAGAGUUAGCCGGAAUGACUGGGCGUAAAGGGUGCGUAGGUGGUUUGACAAGUUAGUAGCGCAACUCCGGAGCUCAACUUCGGAACUACUACUAAACUGUUGGACUUGAGUGCAGGAGGGGCAAUCGGAAUUCCUAGUGUAGCGGUGAAAUGCAUAGAUAUCACGCAGAACUCCGAUUGCGAAGGCAGCAUACCGGCGCCCAACUGACGCUGAAGCACGAAAGCGUGGGUAUCGAACAGGAUUAGAUACCCCAGUAGUC
RNAcentral lists this ribosomal RNA (442 nucleotides) under uncultured bacterium. RNAcentral's name for it is "partial 16S ribosomal RNA". It matches the Rfam family "Bacterial small subunit ribosomal RNA", at positions 338 to 795 of the family's 1533-position model. The record is from RNAcentral.